UGGGUAAUAUGGAUGAAGAUUAGGAGGUUACUUUAGCUUAUUUUAUAUAAUAGCCGAGGUGGGUAAUUUAUAUAUAGAUUUAGGAGGUUCCUUAGGCUAUUUUCAUAAUGGCGUAGGUCGGUAAUAUUUUAGAAAACAUAAUAGAUCCAAUGGCUAUGAUGAUUUGAAUCUAUCGAUUGCUAGUUGGAUGUUUUGCUUUUUUUAAGAAUUUCUAGUAUUUCUCUCUUUUUCUAGAAUAUCCACCUAGGAAUCCUUUCUUAGGUGGCUUCAUCUGGAGGUUUCAAAGGAAAAGAUUCCAAUGAUCAAACACACGGUCCUACGGCAGCUUGACUGGCCGUAUACGUGCAACUCGUCUAGACAUAUACGAACUAGCUGCAACAACUUGAAAUCUCAACCAAAAAAAAAACAACAUGAAAUCUAACUAGAACUUACACAAGAACAAGGACGAAAAUACUUUACCCAAAGGUACGUCUAGUGAUUAAGAACGAUGCAUUGCCUUGCUUAUAUAGCUAGGACUUAACCUUUACAAACCUACUCGGACUCCAACUCAAUGCAAUUUGACACAGACUCAUAAUCCUACUUGGCAUCCUAUCCAAAUCAAAAUAGCUCCAUAUACAGAGUCACAAAGGAUGACUGUUGCAGAACAGUGUAGUGUGCCUUGUCGAACAAAUCAGUAUCAUUGCUCAAACUUGAUUUCCUUCCAAGGGUGCCCAUUCCCCGCAGUCUCUCCUCGUAGCGUGAAGUUGGAACCCCAAUCAAGUCAAUUGAAUCAAUAAAAUCAACACAAAACUUGAUCAUC
This 799-nucleotide long non-coding RNA is filed under the name Setaria viridis. Its description in RNAcentral is "long non-coding RNA (SVIR_LNC002001)". The record is from RNAcentral. Lineage: Eukaryota; Viridiplantae; Streptophyta; Magnoliopsida; Poales; Poaceae.